AGGGUGUAAACGCUGCAGACUUGGUGUUGGAAGCCCUUUGGGGGCAUUCAGUGCCGGAGGGAAGUUGUUAAGUCUGCUACUUGGGGAGUACGUCCGCAAGGAUGAAACUUAAAGGAAUUGGCGGGGGAGCACCGCAACGGGAGGAGCGUGCGGUUUAAUUGGAUUCAACACCGUAAAACUCACCAGGGAAGACUGUUACAUGAAGGCCGAGAUGAAGACUCUGCUAGAUUUUCAGAGAGGAGGUGCAUGGCGUCAGUGACU
RNAcentral lists this ribosomal RNA (261 nucleotides) under uncultured archaeon. RNAcentral describes it as "partial 16S ribosomal RNA". It matches the Rfam family "Archaeal small subunit ribosomal RNA", at positions 748 to 1008 of the family's 1478-position model. The record is from RNAcentral.